AUUGAACGCUGGCGGCAUGCCUUACACAUGCAAGUCGAACGGUAACAGGUCUUCGGAUGCUGACGAGUGGCGAACGGGUGAGUAAUACAUCGGAACGUGCCCAGACGUGGGGGAUAACGAGGCGAAAGCUUUGCUAAUACCGCAUACGAUCUAAGGAUGAAAGCAGGGGACCGCAAGGCCUUGCGCGUUUGGAGCGGCCGAUGGCAGAUUAGGUAGUUGGUGGGAUAAAAGCUUACCAAGCCGACGAUCUGUAGCUGGUCUGAGAGGACGACCAGCCACACUGGGACUGAGACACGGCCCAGACUCCUACGGGAGGCAGCAGUGGGGAAUUUUGGACAAUGGGCGAAAGCCUGAUCAAGCAAUGCCGCGUGCAGGAUGAAGGCCUUCGGGUUGUAAACUGCUUUUGUACGGAACGAAAAGGCUCUGGCUAAUACCUGGGGCACAUGACGGUACCGUAAGAAUAAGCACCGGCUAACUACGUG
Molecule: ribosomal RNA, 482 nt
Filed under: uncultured bacterium
Lineage: Bacteria
Description: partial 16S ribosomal RNA
Rfam family: Bacterial small subunit ribosomal RNA
Source: RNAcentral